Molecule: ribosomal RNA, 253 nt
Filed under: uncultured bacterium
Lineage: Bacteria
Description: partial 16S ribosomal RNA
Rfam family: Bacterial small subunit ribosomal RNA
Source: RNAcentral
UACAGAGGGCUCGAGCGUUGUUCGGAUUCAUUGGGCGUAAAGCGCGUGUAGGCGGUCUGGUAAGUUCGUUCUGAAAGCCUGGGGCUCAACCCCAGGAGGCGGAUGGAUACUGUCAGGCUCGAGUUCGGAAGAGGCGAGUGGAAUUCCCGGUGUAGCGGUGAAAUGCGCAGAUAUCGGGAGGAACACCAAUGGCGAAGGCAGCUCGCUGGGACGUUACUGACGCUGAGACGCGAAAGCGUGGGGAGCAAACAGG